Molecule: ribosomal RNA, 1242 nt
Filed under: metagenome
Description: bacterial LSU rRNA
Rfam family: Bacterial large subunit ribosomal RNA
Source: RNAcentral
UGAAUACGAGACGCUAAGGCGUCGAAGUAGUGUAUGUCAUACUUCCAAGAAAAGCUUGCACUGUCAUAGAUAAAAAACGCCUGUACCAUAACCGACACAGGUGGGUAGGUAGAGUAUACUAAGGGGCGCGAGAUAACUCUCUCUAAGGAACUCGGCAAAAUAACUCCGUAACUUCGGGAGAAGGAGUGCCUUAUUCGUAAGGUUGCAAUAACAAGAUCCAAGCAACUGUUUAUCAAAAACACAGGUCUCCGCUAAGUCGUAAGACGAUGUAUGGGGGCUGACGCCUGCCCAGUGCCAGAAGGUUAAAGAAGUUGGUUAGCAAUUGCGAAGCUGAUAACUGAAGCCCUGGUGAACGGCGGCCGUAACUAUAACGGUCCUAAGGCAGCGAAAUUCCUUGUCGGGUAAGUUCCGACCCGCACGAAAGGCGUAAUGAUUUGGAUACUGUCUCGGAGAGGGGCUCGGUGAAAUAGACUUGUCUGUGAAGAUGCGGACUACCUGCACCAGGACAGAAAGACCCUAUGAAGCUUUACUGUAACUUGAAAUUGAAAUUGGACUUUAUUCGCGCAGUAUAGGUGGGAGGCGUUGAUUAUAAUCUUGUGGGAUUAUUGGAGCCAUCAGUGAGAUACCACUCUUGUAAUGUUAGAUUUCUAACUUUGAAUCAUUAUCUGGUCAAAGAACAGUUUCAGGCGGGCAGUUUGACUGGGGCGGUCGCCUCCUAAACGGUAACGGGGGCGUACAAAGGUUUCCUCUGAACGGUUAGAAAUCGUAUCUAGAGUGUAAAGGCAUAAGGAAGCUUGACUGUGAGACCUACAAGUCGAGCAGGGACGAAAGUCGGUCUUAGUGAUCUGACGGUACUGAGUGGAAAGGCCGUCACUCAACGGAUAAAAGUUACUCUAAGGAUAACAGGCUGAUCUCCCCCAAGAGUUCACAUCGACGGGGAGGUUUGGCACCUUGAUGUCGGCUCAUCGCAUCCUGGGGCGGUAGUACGUCCCAAGGGUUGGGCUGUUCGCCCAUGAAAGCGGUACGCGAGCUGGGUUCAGAACGUCGUGAGACAGUUCGGUCCAUAUCCGGUGUAGGCGUUAGAAUAUUGAGAGGAGCCUUCUUUAGUACGAGAGGACCGAGAAGGACAUACCUCUGGUGUACCAGUUAUCGUGCCAACGGUAAACGCUGGGUAGCUAUGUAUGGAGUGGAUAACCGCUGAAAGCAUCUAAGUGGGAAGCCCACCUCAAGAUAAGUAUUCUC